Molecule: long non-coding RNA, 1129 nt
Filed under: Piliocolobus tephrosceles (Ugandan red Colobus)
Lineage: Eukaryota; Metazoa; Chordata; Mammalia; Primates; Cercopithecidae
Description: lncRNA (ENSPTEG00000014527.1)
Source: RNAcentral
AAAAAAAAAAAAACUAAGUUAUUUUAAGCAAAUAGAAAAAUAUAAUUUAUCUAUCAAUAAAACAAUUUUUCCUUUUUUUUUUUUUUUUUUAAAAAACUAUUGUAUAUAUACAUAUUUUUUCAAUUAUAAUUUGAUUUUUACUAUAAUUAUCAUUACAUAAUUUAAAACAUAAGUAUACAUGGAAUUAUUUUUUUUAUAAAAAAAUAUUCUUUUAAAUAACUUACAUAUAUAUUUUGUAAAAAUAGGAAGAGUAGUAAAAAAUGAGUAUAUAUAAUUUUUGUUUUGUAGGACAAAAAUAUUGUUUAUAAUAUUAAUAUAUAAUGCAUAUGUGAUUUAUUCAGUUAAUUGUAUAAGCUACGUAUAUACAUAAAAAAUAAAUAUAUAUGUAUUAUAUAUAUAUAUAUAUAUAUCAUCUGUAUAUAUUAAUUUUUUAAACAUAAAUUUAAAUGGUUUUAACAUUUCUUAAAAAAAAAAAAAAAGUUUUAUAAAUCAUUAAUAUGCAGCUCCAUACUUUUUUUUAAAAACUUCCUCUUUAUUUUAUAUUUUUAUUUUGCUCAUUUCUAUAUAUAUUUUGCUUUUUUCUAUUAUUAAUUUUUUCAUUUUAUUUUUUUUUCUGCGUAUUUUUUAUAUAAAUACUUAUAUUUAUGAUAAAUCAAGAACAACAGAAAAAAAAAAAAUGAAUCAUAUAGGUGAAAACAAAGAAUCAGAUGAUCAUGAGCAUCAUAUUGCUGGGUCAACAUUGUACGUUUCAAAUUUAAGUUCAAGAAUAACUACUUGGAAACUUCAAGAUUUAUUUGGGCAAUAUGGAACUAUAGAAAAAUGCCACGUUAUCAGUAAUCCAAUUACAAAGUAAGAAAAAAAGAAGAAAAACAAAAAUUAUAUUUUUGGAAUUAUUUAAAUGGCAUGUAUAUAAAUGUACGUGUUUGUAUAUAUACAUUCUUUCUGUAACACAUAUUCUUUAAACUUUGGGUUAUAUGUGUAUUUUUUUGUAAAUGUGUAACUUAAACUGCAUCUAAUAAUUUUAUUUAUUCUUAUACCAACAGAGAAUCAAGACAAUUCGGAUUUGUCACUUUUCACACACCUGAUGAAGCACAAAAUGCAAUGAAUAAAGCAGAUAAAAUGGAUAUAG